UACGUAGGGGGCAAGCGUUGUCCGGAUUUAUUGGGCGUAAAGAGCUCGUAGGCGGCUUGUCGCGUCGACUGUGAAAUCCCGCGGCUCAACUGCGGGUCUGCAGUCGAUACGGGCAGGCUAGAGUUCGGUAGGGGAGACUGGAAUUCCUGGUGUAGCGGUGAAAUGCGCAGAUAUCAGGAGGAACACCGGUGGCGAAGGCGGGUCUCUGGGCCGAUAUUGACGCUGAGGAGCGAAAGCGUGGGGAGCGAACAGG
Molecule: ribosomal RNA, 253 nt
Filed under: uncultured bacterium
Lineage: Bacteria
Description: partial 16S ribosomal RNA
Rfam family: Bacterial small subunit ribosomal RNA
Source: RNAcentral